GCCUGGGUGGCUCAGUCGGUUAAGCGUCCGACUUCGGCUCAGGUCAUGAUCUCACGGUCCGUGGGCUCGAGCCCCGUCUCAGGCU
Molecule: transfer RNA, 85 nt
Organism: Felis catus (domestic cat)
Lineage: Eukaryota; Metazoa; Chordata; Mammalia; Carnivora; Felidae
Rfam family: tRNA
About the family: Transfer RNA (tRNA) molecules are approximately 80 nucleotides in length. Their secondary structure includes four short double-helical elements and three loops (D, anti-codon, and T loops). Further hydrogen bonds mediate the characteristic L-shaped molecular structure. tRNAs have two regions of fundamental functional importance: the anti-codon, which is responsible for specific mRNA codon recognition, and the 3' end, to which the tRNAs corresponding amino acid is attached (by aminoacyl-tRNA synthetases). tRNAs cope with the degeneracy of the genetic code in two manners: having more than one tRNA (with a specific anti-codon) for a particular amino acid; and 'wobble' base-pairing, i.e. permitting non-standard base-pairing at the 3rd anti-codon position.
Source: Rfam